CGUUGGAUACUGUGAGGCUAGACGGUCGGAGGGGGUAGCGGAAUUUCCGGAGUAGCGGUGAAAUGCGCAGAUACCGGAAGGAACGCCAAUAGCGAAGGCAGCUACCUGGACGACUUGUGACGCUGAGGCGCGAAAGCGUGGGGAGCAAACCGGAUUAGAUACCCGGGUAGUCCACGCCCUAAACCAUGAGUGCUGGGUGUCCGGCUUCUGCUGGGUGCCGUAGCUAACGCGCUAAGCACUCCGCCUGGGAAGUACGCACGCAAGUGUGAAACUCAAAGGAAUUGACGGGGGCCCGCACAAGCGGUGGAGCAUGUGGUUUAAUUCGAAGCGACGCGAAGAACCUUACCAGGCCUUGACAUGCCCGGAACCCCUCUGAAAGGAGGGGGUGCCCGCAAGGGAGCCGGGACACAGGUGCUGCAUGGCCGUCGUCAGCUCGUGUCGUGAGAUGUUGGGUUAAGUCCCGCAACGAGCGCAACCCCUAUCCCUAGUUGCCAGCAGUUCGGCUGGCACUCUAUGGAGACUGCCUGCGAAAGCAGGAGGAAGGCGGGGAUGACGUCUGGUCCGCAUGGCCCUUACGGCCUGGGCGACACACGUGCUACAAUGCCAAGGACAGAGCGCUGCUACCUCGCGAGAGGACGCCAAUCGCAAAAACCUUGGCUCAGUUCGGAUUGGAGUCUGCA
This 680-nucleotide ribosomal RNA is filed under the name uncultured Thermaceae bacterium. RNAcentral describes it as "bacterial SSU rRNA". It matches the Rfam family "Bacterial small subunit ribosomal RNA", at positions 624 to 1309 of the family's 1533-position model. The record is from RNAcentral. Lineage: Bacteria; Thermotogati; Deinococcota; Deinococci; Thermales; Thermaceae.